RNAcentral lists this ribosomal RNA (253 nucleotides) under uncultured bacterium. RNAcentral describes it as "partial 16S ribosomal RNA". It matches the Rfam family "Bacterial small subunit ribosomal RNA", at positions 524 to 776 of the family's 1533-position model. The record is from RNAcentral.
UACAGAGGUGGCAAGCGUUGUUCGGAAUUACUGGGCGUAAAGGGCGCGUAGGCGGCCUUCUAAGUCAGACGUGAAAUCCCCAGGCUUAACUUGGGAACUGCGUCUGAUACUGGGAGGCUUGAGUGCGGGAGAGGGAUGUGGAAUUCCAGGUGUAGCGGUGAAAUGCGUAGAUAUCUGGAGGAACACCGGUGGCGAAGGCGGCAUCCUGGACCGGUAUUGACGCUGAGGCGCGAAAGCUAGGGGAGCAAACGGG